Non-coding RNA from Acanthosepion pharaonis, 113 nucleotides. The record is from the annotation of a GenBank genome assembly. NCBI's taxonomy places the organism in Eukaryota, Metazoa, Mollusca, Cephalopoda, Sepiida, Sepiidae.
UACAGCCAUAACACAUUGAAACAUUGGUUCCCAUAUGAUCACUGAAGUUAAGCAUCGUUGAUCCUGGUCAGUAGCUAGAUGGGCCACUGCUUGAGAAUACCAAGUGCUGUAAG